Long non-coding RNA from Grammomys surdaster, 175 nucleotides. RefSeq lists it as uncharacterized. The record is from RefSeq and is a predicted model, not a curated record. The transcript has 3 exons. Lineage: Eukaryota; Metazoa; Chordata; Mammalia; Rodentia; Muridae.
CAGUGGGUCCCUGUUGCUCCCUGUUUGGGCUCUUAGAUCUCAUCAGAGAAGUUUCCUUGUACAUCGGACGUGAUAAAUGCAGCGACACGACCAGUCAAUGUGCAAGAAUGCAGUAUAAUCACCUACUUCAAGCUCCUGCCACCAUGACUUCCUGCCUUGAUGGACUGUCACCUCC